Molecule: ribosomal RNA, 432 nt
Filed under: uncultured bacterium
Lineage: Bacteria
Description: partial 16S ribosomal RNA
Rfam family: Bacterial small subunit ribosomal RNA
Source: RNAcentral
AACGAACGCUGGCGGCAUGCCUAACACAUGCAAGUCGAACGAGACCUUCGGGUCUAGUGGCGCACGGGUGCGUAACGCGUGGGAACCUGCCCUUAGGUUCGGAAUAACUCCCCGAAAGGGGUGCUAAUACCGGAUAAUGUCUUCGGACCAAAGAUUUAUCGCCUUUGGAUGAGCCCGCGUUGGAUUAGCUAGUUGGUAGGGUAAAAGCCUACCAAGGCGACGAUCCAUAGCUGGUCUGAGAGGAUGAUCAGCCACACUGGGACUGAGACACGGCCCAGACUCCUACGGGAGGCAGCAGUGGGGAAUAUUGGACAAUGGGCGAAAGCCUGAUCCAGCAAUGCCGCGUGAGUGAUGAAGGCCUUAGGGUUGUAAAGCUCUUUUACCCGGGAUGAUAAUGACAGUACCGGGAGAAUAAGCUCCGGCUAACUCCGU